ACACGACUACAUUAGAUACCCGCGUAGUCCCAGCCCUAAACGAUGCGCGUUAGGUGUAUCGGUGACCACGAGUCACCGAGGUGCCGAAGGGAAACCGUGAAACGUGCCGCCUGGGAAGUACGGUCGCAAGGCUGAAACAUAAAGGAAUUGGCGGGGGAGCACCACAACGGGUGGAGCUUGCGGUUUAAUUGGAUUCAACGCCGGAAAUCUUACCGGGACCGACAGCAACAUGAAGGCCAGGCUGAAGACUUUGCCGGAUUAGCUG
This 265-nucleotide ribosomal RNA is filed under the name uncultured archaeon. RNAcentral's name for it is "partial 16S ribosomal RNA". It matches the Rfam family "Archaeal small subunit ribosomal RNA", at positions 717 to 982 of the family's 1478-position model. The record is from RNAcentral.